UGGCUCAGGAUGAACGCUAGCUACAGGCUUAACACAUGCAAGUCGAGGGGCAGCAUGGUCUUAGCUUGCUAAGGCCGAUGGCGACCGGCGCACGGGUGAGUAACACGUAUCCAACCUGCCGUCUACUCUUGGACAGCCUUCUGAAAGGAAGAUUAAUACAAGAUGGCAUCAUGAGUCCGCAUGUUCACAUGAUUAAAGGUAUUCCGGUAGACGAUGGGGAUGCGUUCCAUUAGAUAGUAGGCGGGGUAACGGCCCACCUAGUCUUCGAUGGAUAGGGGUUCUGAGAGGAAGGUCCCCCACAUUGGAACUGAGACACGGUCCAAACUCCUACGGGAGGCAGCAGUGAGGAAUAUUGGUCAAUGGGCGAGAGCCUGAACCAGCCAAGUAGCGUGAAGGAUGACUGCCCUAUGGGUUGUAAACUUCUUUUAUAAAGGAAUAAAGUCGGGUAUGCAUACCCGUUUGCAUGUACUUUAUGAAUAAGGAUCGGCUAACUCCGUGCCAGCAGCCGCGGUAAUACGGAGGAUCCGAGCGUUAUCCGGAUUUAUUGGGUUUAAAGGGAGCGUAGAUGGAUGUUUAAGUCAGUUGUGAAAGUUUGCGGCUCAACCGUAAAAUUGCAGUUGAUACUGGAUAUCUUGAGUGCAGUUGAGGCAGGCGGAAUUCGUGGUGUAGCGGUGAAAUGCUUAGAUAUCACGAAGAACUCCGAUUGCGAAGGCAGCCUGCUAAGCUGCAACUGACAUUGAGGCUCGAAAGUGUGGGUAUCAAACAGGAUUAGAUACCCUGGUAGUCCACACGGUAAACGAUGAAUACUCGCUGUUUGCGAUAUACAGCAAGCGGCCAAGCGAAAGCGUUAAGUAUUCCACCUGGGGAGUACGCCGGCAACGGUGAAACUCAAAGGAAUUGACGGGGGCCCGCACAAGCGGAGGAACAUGUGGUUUAAUUCGAUGAUACGCGAGGAACCUUACCCGGGCUUAAAUUGCAGAUGAAUUACGGUGAAAGCCGUAAGCCGCAAGGCAUCUGUGAAGGUGCUGCAUGGUUGUCGUCAGCUCGUGCCGUGAGGUGUCGGCUUAAGUGCCAUAACGAGCGCAACCCUUGUUGUCAGUUACUAACAGGUUCCGCUGAGGACUCUGACAAGACUGCCAUCGUAAGAUGUGAGGAAGGUGGGGAUGACGUCAAAUUAGCACGGCCCUUACGUCCGGGGCUACACACGUGUUACAAUGGGGGGUACAGAGGGCCGCUACCACGCGAGUGGAUGCCAAUCCCAAAAACCUCUCUCAGUUCGGACUGGAGUCUGCAACCCGACUCCACGAAGCUGGAUUCGCUAGUAAUCGCGCAUCAGCCACGGCGCGGUGAAUACGUUCCCGGGCCUUGUACACACCGCCCGUCAAGUCAUGGGAGCCGGGGGUACCUGAAGUGCGUAACCGCGAGGAGCGCCCUAGGGUA
RNAcentral lists this ribosomal RNA (1440 nucleotides) under uncultured organism. Its description in RNAcentral is "16S ribosomal RNA". It matches the Rfam family "Bacterial small subunit ribosomal RNA". The record is from RNAcentral.